UGUGUGAGUUGAGGCCAAGUCCAGCCUCUCUGCGCUUGUUCAUAAACAGGAAGCAGAACACAGCACCCUGUUUUUCUCUGUCUCUUCGCUUUACAAGCUGAGGCCUGCCCUUGGUAACCUUGUCUGGUUAUACAACCCAUGACAAAACAGACUUCUGGCUCCACACUUCCUUUUGGGGAGAAAAACACCAGCUGACCCUUGGGUUUCAUCCCAUCCCCCUAGAGCUGGGCCCAGUCACACACCAGGUGUGACCUUCAGACCAGGCAAACCCAGCCGGGACACGUAGGCUGCUGUCACCCGGCCCCACCCCCAUCAGGAAGUUUGGGGCCUAGCCCCGCUCGGCUCAUCACGCAUACGCGUCCUCAGCCAAUCCCUCCCUGUUGCUGGGGCCCGUUCCCGGUCCCCAUUGGUGCCAGCCUUGAACCAACCAUCCCCGGUAACCUGCAAAGGACGGAUCUGUGCGCGGAACGAACUGCGAAAGGAAUCUAGUGAGUCAGGAGACUUCCAGCACGUUCGAGCACUUCCCCAUUCUAGGUUAACCCUUGGCCAGGGCGAGCCCUCAAGCCUCCCCUUCUCCCUCCUUUACCCCUGAAACCAAGGCUGUUUGGCUCUGAACCUUCUAGACUGGAAAGUGCUGACACCACCAAGCUGAUGACUCAGCCAACAAACAGAAAUCACGAGGCUGAAGCAAAGCACAGCCAAAUAUAGCCUGGUGGCUCUGAAGGCCAGCGUCACUUUAGAUCCAGCCUCACGGCUUUGUCCCCUGCCAAACGUCUGUCUGAAAUCUAGAAAGAAUUGACCUACACAGAAAUCUGUCUCAGAAACCACCGGGGUGUCCCAAACCCAGAGAAUGACAUUUUAAUUUCUCAGUGGCAUAUGACUUCAUUCAUGGAAAUCACAGAAAUUAAAAUCUGUUUCGAAUGAUACCUCUCA
Myodes glareolus (Bank vole) is the source of this 933-nucleotide non-coding RNA. NCBI's taxonomy places the organism in Eukaryota, Metazoa, Chordata, Mammalia, Rodentia, Cricetidae. The record is from RefSeq and is a predicted model, not a curated record.